Molecule: non-coding RNA, 1149 nt
Organism: Camelina sativa (false flax)
Lineage: Eukaryota; Viridiplantae; Streptophyta; Magnoliopsida; Brassicales; Brassicaceae
Source: RefSeq, a predicted model, not a curated record
GAAGGCUUCCUUUGGUGUAUGUGAAAUGCAAAAAUGCGCCACAUAGCUUCACAAGCAGAGAGAUAUCGACAGUCUAGACUUUGUUUGCCAUGCAAGGAGACGAUGGCCUAUCCAUUCCACAAGGUCCAUGCAUGAUGUGCUUUUCCACCAGUUCAAAUCCAAGUGGGUCUUCAUUUUUGUUGGGUAGUUCCGCAGAAAUGAUUGCAUUUAUUUGGCCAAGGCUUGGUUGUUUCGGUGUGUUAUCUAACCAUAGAAGUAUAUGAGCGUGUGGGAGGCCACAUUUCUGGAACUCAAUGGUGUCUAGCACUGAAUGAAAUGUGAAAAGCAUAGUUCAUCGAGUUUCAUUUUGAAGACACGACAUUCAAUAUCAGGUCUGUCGUUCGCUGAUGUGCCUCCAUAAGUUGCCAAAUGAUCCUUUAUUUCUUGCCAAUUAGGGUUUGCAGUCAUUGUGAUGAAUAAAGUUGGAUUACCAUAUGCUCGACAUAUUGCCAUAGCGUCAUGAUAUUUCUCUAUCAUAUAUCGAGGUCCCCUUAUAAAACUGGAGGGCAAAAAUUAUUCUUUUCCCUACUUUUAUGGCUUCAGUGUCACCUUUACUCACUGCAUCAUAUACAUUGUUGUAUAGGUCAGCUCUUAACUGUUCUUGGUUGUCUUUUGCCCAGCGAAGUCUUUCUUGCUCAAUGGCUGUGUAUACAUCAACAACAUACUGGUGAAAUAAGCGUCCUGACUUUAUGAUUGUCAUUCCUUUCGUCAGUCUUGUUUGGAUUUGGUACGCAUAGAACUCUCUGAUACUUAUGUAUGUCCUUCUUCUUUCGCCAUUUUGUGUGACUGCAUGGGGGAUUUCUGUGUGAAACCCAAAUUCACCAAAAGGGAACAACAAUGGAUAUUGCAAGCUCAUGAACAAAGGAUGAUCGUCCCUAAUUUCUUGCAAGUGGCCUGUCUGCAAUUCCAAGAUUACAUCUCUGUAACCGGUAGUAGCAGUUAUAUCUCCCACAAUAAGACCCGCAACUUCUUUCACUUGAGGUAAAUCAUACUGCUUACCUUUACUUCUUUGACCAACCAAUCGCAUUCUUAAGUCUUGGACUUCUUUUGCUUUGUAUCUAUCUCUUCCAUUCCGGAAGAACAUACACAAACAAUUGUGUUCAUCUAACA